RNAcentral lists this ribosomal RNA (273 nucleotides) under uncultured bacterium. RNAcentral describes it as "partial 16S ribosomal RNA". It matches the Rfam family "Bacterial small subunit ribosomal RNA", at positions 524 to 796 of the family's 1533-position model. The record is from RNAcentral.
UACGUAGGCAGCAAGCGUUGUUCGGAGUUACUGGGCGUAAAGAGUGUGUAGGCGGUUAGCUAAGUUCGGUGUGAAAUCUCCCGGCUCAACUGGGAGGGUGCGCCGAAGACUGGCAGGCUUGAGUGCGGGAGAGGAAAGCGGAAUUCCUGGUGUAGCGGUGAAAUGCGUAGAUAUCAGGAGGAACACCUGCGGUGUAGACGGCUUUCUGGACCGUAACUGACGCUGAGACACGAAAGCGUGGGUAGCAAACAGGAUUAGAUACCCCCGUAGUCC